GAGGGUAUAGCUCAGUGGUAGAGCACGUGCUUAGCAUGCACGAGAUCCUGGGUUCAGUCCUGAGUACCUCCU
This 72-nucleotide transfer RNA is filed under the name Camelus bactrianus (Bactrian camel). It matches the Rfam family "tRNA". From Rfam's summary of the family: Transfer RNA (tRNA) molecules are approximately 80 nucleotides in length. Lineage: Eukaryota; Metazoa; Chordata; Mammalia; Artiodactyla; Camelidae. RNAcentral also lists the same sequence under 1 other name. The record is from Rfam by way of RNAcentral.